UCAUAGCUCAGUGGUAGAGCAUCUGUUUUCCGUGCAGAAUGUCCUAGGUUCAAUCCCUGGAAUCUCAA
Podarcis lilfordi (Lilford's wall lizard) is the source of this 68-nucleotide non-coding RNA. The record is from the annotation of a GenBank genome assembly. NCBI's taxonomy places the organism in Eukaryota, Metazoa, Chordata, Lepidosauria, Squamata, Lacertidae.